Long non-coding RNA from Bacillus rossius redtenbacheri, 2375 nucleotides. RefSeq lists it as uncharacterized. The transcript has 2 exons. Lineage: Eukaryota; Metazoa; Arthropoda; Insecta; Phasmatodea; Bacillidae. The record is from RefSeq and is a predicted model, not a curated record.
AGUCGAAGCCGAGACGUCGAGGUGCGAGGUUCCUCCUGGCGUGCGGCCCGAGGACGAGUCCAGGGCGUCGAGAGCACGUGUGACUUGGAGGUCCGCGGGUGUCGAAGGAGUCGAGGAAUGAGCCGCCGGCUGCCGCCAUGUCUCCCGCCUGGGCGCUCCUGUGCUACUCGCUGGCGCUGCUGAUCCUGUCCCCAGUGGUGCUGCUGCUGGUGCUGCUGCUGCCCCGCCAGCUGCCCCAGCUGCCCCUGCUGGUGGCCAGCCGCCUGUCCUUCAUCCCCAUGGAGUCGCUGUGACGGCCGCCAGGUAGCUCCCGUGCAGCGUCUUCAUUUCCUUCUGGGGGUUGUCUGUACAGUCGGUUUACCCACGAUCAUCUUACGUGAUGUCAUAAGAAAACAUUGAUUAAAUAUUGCAUACCUACUCCUUUUAAUUUUUCAAAUAUUAUUUUACAGUAUUUUUUUUUUCAAAAUUUAUUUUUAAUAUUUUUGUUUAAAUAUAAUCACGAACCAUAGGUUUUAUUUUUUAAAAAAAAACUCCUUAACCUGUUUGAUAUUAUAGAAGAUUUUCUCGCACGGUGGUUGGCCGGUUCUUGCACGCUCGGCUCAGGCGGAACGUGACAAUUUUGUCGUGCAUGCAGCCGGCGUUCAUCGAUUUAUAAGUAGGGACCGGAAAAAUUCGCGGAUUCAAUGACCUCUAGGAUAGCCUCCAUUAUCCUCUGCAUUUCUCAAGUAAACACGCGUGUUCAUUGGGUACUAAAUUGUGAGGCGUCUCCACUGGGUAGCUUGUGAUUCGACGCUUCUUUGGUCGAUAGUCUCUCAUUGGCCCAGAGAGCUCCAGUUAAACUGCGAGCCAAUAGCAGAACCAGCAUAAUUGUACACAUGUUUGAAUUUCAGCCUAUCACGAAAUGAAUCCGCGAAAUUUUCCGGUCUCUACCUCUCAAUUAUAAAUACUCCAUAAUAGGAAGCGAUACUGAUAUUGACCCCCCAGUCUUAAAGUGCAUAUUUAAAUUAAAUAUUUCCUAACAAAAGUAAAUACAAGAAAGUAAACUGUGUGGAUGCUUUCAGACGUGCGAAUAAAUAAUAACAUUGCGAUGAUAAAUGUAAGUAAAAAUUAUUAUUAUAAGCUCUUAACAUCACAACAAAAUAAUAAUGAAACAUUAUAUUUGGAAACCUCUCCAUUUUAUAUUACAAUAAAAAAAUAAUAAUAUAACUAUCGUAAGAGUCGCUUGCCUCUGGUUUUAGUUUGUGGUUCUGGCGCGCGAUGCGGCAGUUUUCUCUUGCGAUGGCUUCCCAUCGGGCGUCCUUGGAAGAGGUGUGGGCAGAGCCUCAGCUCGUGUGAGGCAGGGAGUGGCUUCUGGCCGCCUGCGUGUGGACGGCUUCCCCGUCUCGGCAACCUUUCAUCCAGGGGAAGCCUUAUUUCACAGACGAGAGAGAGCCAAACGCCCUAUCGUGCAUCUUCGGGUGUUUUUUUUUUGUUCAUUGUAAAAGGUUAGGUUAGCUACAUUAUUAAUACUUUAAAACAUUGUGGACGGUUGAUUUGGUUAGGAUAGCUACAUUAGAUAUACUGUUAAAUCAUGUAAACGGUUUCCUAGCCCUGGAUAGCUACAUAUCAAAAAGUCAUUUGCUAAGCAAAAAUAAAAUGAUUUUACGGUAUUUUUAAUGUAGCUAUACUUACCAAACAUAACUAACCAUCCACAAUGUUUUAAAGUAGUUAUAAUGUAGCUAACCUAUCCUAAUCGACCGCAAAAUGUAAUGCCACACCGGUUUAUACAAUGAGAUAGAACGGACAAAAAGAAGCGAGCAUGAACUUCGGGGAACGUCGGGUGUGGCUCUCUCGUCUGUGAAAUGAAGGCUUCCCUUCAUCCAGGGCGCUGGUCUGUAGUAUCAGACAGGGGGUGAGCCGCCCCGAGUAUAAGUAUAGGGUGCUUGCAUGUUGUAUACUGCCCCUUUUUUAGCCUAUAUGCAUGCGACAAGCAGAAAACUUUCAAACGUACAGAACAUUUUUUUUCCCAUGAAACAUAGUCACAGUCACGCUUGCUCCUCAGACAGAAGCUUCUUAAUGCAGGGGAGGAGGGGGGAUGAGCCAUCUACCCCCUCUCCCCCACCCCUGGGCCGGGAUCCACGCCAAUGCUUGCAUGCGUCCAAUCAGACAACUGCACACAGCGGACUGGUUUGUCGUCCGGCGACCUUCUCCCGCUCGGUCGACGCCGGUGCACAGCGUCGUACGUACGUAACUCACGUGAUGGCGCGAAUUUCAAAAACGGAGUUGCCUGUUUCGAUUUUUGACGUGAAGCGUCUUUAAAAUCGCACCGAAUCAUACAUACGGGUCCCAAGACAGAAAUUUGUACCGUUGACGAGAAGGUCUGCAUCGUCUUGUCG